RNAcentral lists this ribosomal RNA (274 nucleotides) under uncultured bacterium. RNAcentral's name for it is "partial 16S ribosomal RNA". It matches the Rfam family "Bacterial small subunit ribosomal RNA", at positions 523 to 796 of the family's 1533-position model. The record is from RNAcentral.
AUACGGAGGGUGCGAGCGUUACUCGGAGUCACUGGGCGUAAAGCGUCCGUAGGCGGUCGGGUAAGUCGGGUGUGAAAGCCCCGGGCUCAACCUGGGAAGUGCACCCGAUACUGCCCGACUCGAGUGCGGGAGAGGAUGGCGGAAUUCCCGGUGUAGCGGUGAAAUGCGUAGAGAUCGGGAGGAACACCAGUGGCGAAGGCGGCCAUCUGGCCCGCAACUGACGCUGAGGGACGAAAGCGUGGGGAGCAAACAGGAUUAGAAACCCUAGUAGUCC